UCCUCCUACAUGCAAAGAGCCUACAGAUGGCAUUCCUUUCAAAACAAAGUUUCAGCACUUGGCAAAGAAACAGGAUGCAAUCUGGCUACUGCCGUUAAAGAUAAUAAAAAACGUUUUUAUAAAUACAUCAACACAAAAAUGAGGACUAAGGAGAAUUUCCUUCCUUUACUGGAUGCGGGGGGAAACUUAGUUACAAGAGAUGAGGAAAAGGCAGAGGUGCUUAAUGCCUUCUUUGCCUCAGUCUUUAGCGGCAAUACCGGUUGUCGUCUGGAUACCCAGUACCCUGAGCUGGUGGAAGGGGAUAGGGAGCAGGAUGUGGCCCUCACCAUCCACGAAGAAAUGGUUGGCGACCUGCUACGGCACUUGGAUGCGCACAAGUUGAUGGGGCCGGAUGGGAUCCACCCAAGGGUACUGAGAGAACUGGCAGAGGAGCUGGCCAAGCCCGUAUCCAUCAUUUAUCAGCAGUCCUGGCUAUCAGGGGAAGUCCCAGCUGACUGGCGGCUAGCGAAUGUGACGCCCAUCUACAAGAAGGGCCGGAGGGCAGACCCGGGAAACUACAGGCCUGUCAGUUUGACCUCAGUACCAGGGAAGCUCAUGGAGCAGAUCCUCUUGAGAGUCAUCAUGUGGCACUUGCAGGGAAAGCAGGCGAUCAGGCCCAGUCAGCAUGGGUUUAUGGAAGUCAGAUCCUGCUUGACGAACCUGAUCUCCUUCUAUGACAAAGUGACAUGCUGGGUGGAUGAGGGAAAGGCUGUGGAUGUGGUCUACCUUGACUUCAGCAAGGCUUUUGACACCGUCUCCCACAGCAUUCUCCUCAGGAAACUGGCUGCUCUUGGCUUGGACUGGUGCACGCUUCGUUGGGUUUGAAACUGGCUGGAUAGCCGGGCCAAAAGAGUCGUGGUAAAUGGAGGCAAGUCCAGUUGGAGGCCGGUCACUAGUGGCGUCCCCCAUGGCUCGGUGCUGGGGCCGGUCCUCUUUAAUAUCUUCAUCAAUGAUCUGGACAAGGGCAUUGAGUGCACCCUCAGUAAGUUUGCAGAUGACACCAAGCUAUGCGCAUGUGUCGAUCUGCUCGAGGGUAGGAAAGCUCUGCAGGAGGAUCUGGAUAGGCUGCACCGAUGGGCUGAGGUCAACUGCAUGAAGUCCAACAAGGCCAAGUGCCG
This 1157-nucleotide long non-coding RNA is filed under the name Anas platyrhynchos platyrhynchos (common mallard). RNAcentral's name for it is "lncRNA (ENSAPLG00000027099.1)". Lineage: Eukaryota; Metazoa; Chordata; Aves; Anseriformes; Anatidae. The record is from RNAcentral.